RNAcentral lists this ribosomal RNA (849 nucleotides) under uncultured Staphylococcus sp. RNAcentral's name for it is "SSU rRNA". It matches the Rfam family "Bacterial small subunit ribosomal RNA", at positions 34 to 865 of the family's 1533-position model. Lineage: Bacteria; Bacillati; Bacillota; Bacilli; Caryophanales; Staphylococcaceae. The record is from RNAcentral.
CGCUGGCGGCGUGCUAAUACAUGCAAGUCGAGCGAACAGACGAGGAGCUUGCUCCUCUGACGUUAGCGGCGGACGGGUGAGUAACACGUGGAUAACCUACCUAUAAGACUGGGAUAACUUCGGGAAACCGGAGCUAAUACCGGAUAAUAUAUUGAACCGCAUGGUUCAAUAGUGAAAGACGGUUUUGCUGUCACUUAUAGAUGGAUCCGCGCCGCAUUAGCUAGUUGGUAAGGUAACGGCUUACCAAGGCAACGAUGCGUAGCCGACCUGAGAGGGUGAUCGGCCACACUGGAACUGAGACACGGUCCAGACUCCUACGGGAGGCAGCAGUAGGGAAUCUUCCGCAAUGGACGAAAGCCUGACGGAGCAACGCCGCGUGAGUGAUGAAGGUCUUCGGAUCGUAAAACUCUGUUAUUAGGGAAGAACAAAUGUGUAAGUAACUAUGCACGUCUUGACGGUACCUAAUCAGAAAGCCACGGCUAACUACGUGCCAGCAGCCGCGGUAAUACGUAGGUGGCAAGCGUUAUCCGGAAUUAUUGGGCGUAAAGCGCGCGUAGGCGGUUUUUUAAGUCUGAUGUGAAAGCCCACGGCUCAACCGUGGAGGGUCAUUGGAAACUGGAAAACUUGAGUGCAGAAGAGGAAAGUGGAAUUCCAUGUGUAGCGGUGAAAUGCGCAGAGAUAUGGAGGAACACCAGUGGCGAAGGCGACUUUCUGGUCUGUAACUGACGCUGAUGUGCGAAAGCGUGGGGAUCAAACAGGAUUAGAUACCCUGGUAGUCCACGCCGUAAACGAUGAGUGCUAAGUGUUAGGGGGUUUCCGCCCCUUAGUGCUGCAGCUAACGCAUUAAGC